This 531-nucleotide ribosomal RNA is filed under the name uncultured bacterium. RNAcentral describes it as "bacterial SSU rRNA". It matches the Rfam family "Bacterial small subunit ribosomal RNA", at positions 338 to 866 of the family's 1533-position model. The record is from RNAcentral.
CCUACGGGAGGCAGCAGUGAGGAAUAUUGGACAAUGGGCGCAAGCCUGAUCCAGCCAUGCCGCGUGCAGGAAGACGCAUCUAUGGUGUGUAAACUGCUUUUGUACGGGAAGAAACACUCCCUCGUGAGGGAGCUUGACGGUACCGUAAGAAUAAGGAUCGGCUAACUCCGUGCCAGCAGCCGCGGUAAUACGGAGGAUCCAAGCGUUAUCCGGAAUCAUUGGGUUUAAAGGGUCCGUAGGCGGUUUAAUAAGUCAGUGGUGAAAGCCCAUCGCUCAACGAUGGAACGGCCAUUGAUACUGUUAGACUUGAAUUACUAGGAAGUAACUAGAAUAUGUAGUGUAGCGGUGAAAUGCUUAGAUAUUACAUGGAAUACCAAUUGCGAAGGCAGGUUACUACUAGUGGAUUGACGCUGAUGGACGAAAGCGUGGGGAGCGAACAGGAUUAGGAUACCCUGGUAGUCCACGCCGUAAACGAUGACUACUAGCUGGUAGGCGACUAAGUUCAGUGGUCGUAGAGAAGUAGAGUAAGUA